RNAcentral lists this ribosomal RNA (468 nucleotides) under uncultured bacterium. RNAcentral's name for it is "partial 16S ribosomal RNA". It matches the Rfam family "Bacterial small subunit ribosomal RNA", at positions 28 to 507 of the family's 1533-position model. The record is from RNAcentral.
GACGAAUGCUGGCGGCGUGCUUAACACAUGCAAGUCGAACGGAAAGGCCCUGCUUUUGUGGGGUGCUCGAGUGGCGAACGGGUGAGUAACACGUGAGUAACCUGCCCUUGACUUUGGGAUAACUUCAGGAAACUGGGGCUAAUAACGGAUAGGAGCUCCUGCUGCAUGGUGGGGGUUGGAAAGUUUCGGCGGUUGGGGAUGGACUCGCGGCUUAUCAGCUUGUUGGUGGGGUAGUGGCUUACCAAGGCUUUGACGGGUAGCCGGCCUGAGAGGGUGACCGGCCACAUUGGGACUGAGAUACGGCCCAGACUCCUACGGGAGGCAGCAGUGGGGAAUAUUGCACAAUGGGCGGAAGCCUGAUGCAGCAACGCCGCGUGCGGGAUGACGGCCUUCGGGUUGUAAACCGCUUUCGCCUGUGACGAAGCGUGAGUGACGGUAAUGGGUAAAGAAGCACCGGCUAACUACGUG